RNAcentral lists this transfer RNA (95 nucleotides) under Candidozyma auris. Its description in RNAcentral is "[Candida] auris tRNA-Asn". The record is from RNAcentral. Lineage: Eukaryota; Fungi; Ascomycota; Pichiomycetes; Serinales; Metschnikowiaceae.
GAUUGUCGUAGGAGAAGGGUGGUUUCUAGGUAUGUUUAGCUCAUGAUUUUGGUUGCUGGGUCGUUUGCUUGCGGUUCCAUGCCGCUCGCAGUCAC